Molecule: transfer RNA, 67 nt
Filed under: Marmota monax (woodchuck)
Lineage: Eukaryota; Metazoa; Chordata; Mammalia; Rodentia; Sciuridae
Description: tRNA.Gly
Source: RNAcentral
GGUUGUGGCUUGGAGGUAGAGCGCUCGCCUACCAUGUGUGAGACACUGGGUUCGAUCCUCAGCACCA